CUCACCCAGGGAUCUUGUUAAAAUGUAGAUUCUGACCCAGUAGGCCUGGGGUGGGCCUGAGGAUCUGCAUUUCUAACAAGUUCCCAGGUGGUGCCCA
RNAcentral lists this microRNA precursor (97 nucleotides) under Camelus bactrianus (Bactrian camel). RNAcentral describes it as "mir-544 microRNA precursor family". It matches the Rfam family "mir-544 microRNA precursor family". The record is from Rfam by way of RNAcentral. Lineage: Eukaryota; Metazoa; Chordata; Mammalia; Artiodactyla; Camelidae. RNAcentral also lists the same sequence under 2 other names.